AGACCCGAAACCCGGUGAUCUAGCCAUGGGCAGGUUGAAGGUUGGGUAACACUAACUGGAGGACCGAACCGACUAAUGUUGAAAAAUUAGCGGAUGACCUGUGGCUGGGGGUGAAAGGCCAAUCAAACCGGGAGAUAGCUGGUUCUCCCCGAAAGCUAUUUAGGUAGCGCCUCGUGAAUUCAUCUCCGGGGGUAGAGCACUGUUUCGGCUAGGGGGCCAUCCCGGCUUACCAACCCGAUGCAAACUGCGAAUACCGGAGAAUGUUAUCACGGGAGACACACGGCGGGUGCUAACGUCCGUCGUGAAGAGGGAAACAACCCAGACCGCCAGCUAAGGUCCCAAAGUCAUGGUUAAGUGGGAAACGAUGUGGGAAGGCCCAGACAGCCAGGAUGUUGGCUUAGAAGCAGCCAUCAUUUAAAGAAAGCGUAAUAGCUCACUGGUCGAGUCGGCCUGCGCGGAAGAUGUAACGGGGCUAAACCAUGCACCGAAGCUGCGGCAGCGACACUGUGUGUUGUUGGGUAGGGGAGCGUUCUGUAAGCCUGUGAAGGUGUGUCGUGAGGCAUGCUGGAGGUAUCAGAAGUGCGAAUGCUGACAUAAGUAACGAUAAAGCGGGUGAAAAGCCCGCUCGCCGGAAGACCAAGGGUUCCUGUCCAACGUUAAUCGGGGCAGGGUGAGUCGACCCCUAAGGCGAGGCCGAAAGGCGUAGUCGAUGGGAAACGGGUUAAUAUUCCCGUACUUGGUGUUACUGCGAAGGGGGGACGGAGAAGGCUAUGUUGGCCGGGCGACGGUUGUCCCGGUUUAAGCGUGUAGGUGUGUGUUCCAGGUAAAUCCGGUUCACUUUAACACUGAGGCGUGAUGA
Molecule: ribosomal RNA, 859 nt
Filed under: Salmonella enterica
Lineage: Bacteria; Pseudomonadati; Pseudomonadota; Gammaproteobacteria; Enterobacterales; Enterobacteriaceae
Description: partial 23S ribosomal RNA
Rfam family: Bacterial large subunit ribosomal RNA
Source: RNAcentral